Long non-coding RNA from Vigna angularis (adzuki bean), 800 nucleotides. RefSeq lists it as uncharacterized. The transcript has 3 exons. Lineage: Eukaryota; Viridiplantae; Streptophyta; Magnoliopsida; Fabales; Fabaceae. The record is from RefSeq and is a predicted model, not a curated record.
AAAUAAUCCAUUUGGAAACGGUGAAUCCAAAAUAUAUUCAGCGACUUCUUUUCAUGGUCUAAUUCCGGUUCACCCUCUCGUCUUCAUUUCAUCAUUUUCAUCUUUUGUCUCAUCUUCAUCUUCUUUCAUUUCAUCAUCAUCUUCUUUUACUCCAUCUUCGUUUCCUAUCAACCCAAAGCAAAUCUUCAGAUUCAGGUGCAGGUUGGCCUCCAAAACAUGUUCUCAUGAAGCACAUCCCUCUCUGCUAGUCAGAUUCUCCAAACCCUGGCCCCACACAACUCCUUCAUGACCACGAGACAACCCAAAUCCCAGUGUCGCACAGUGCUCCAUGGCCACCAACCAAAGAUAAAAGAUGCAAUCAAUCCUAACCUUCACAAUGGUUGAAGAUGGAGGCAGGUGCAGGGAUACACGCACAGCAUGGUAGAAGGGGAAGGAAUUAUGAGUUAUUGAAGGUGAUCUAGUUCAGAAGAAUGUUGGCGAGGGGGCUAGGAUGGUUCGUGAACUACUUGAGAUGGUUCGUUCAAAGAAGGCGUGCAUUGUGUUUUUUGAUGGUGUUGGUGGUGAUAACGAGGUUCAACGAACCACGCUUGAAAUUGUUAAUCAGCUUGAUGGAUUUGAUGCUCGUGGAAACAUCAAAGUUUUGAUGGCAACAAACAGGUUGGUUCGUUUUAUUAGUAGAGCAUCUCAGGAUUAUUGUGCCAGUUUUGUCAUAAUCAUGAUGCAUUCCAAUGACAUGUGUACAAUCUUGAGAACAUUGAAUUCAAAUCAAUUAAUAUAUUCAACUUUUAAUAAAAUAUAUA